GACGAACGCUGGCGGCGUGCUUAAUACAUGCAAGUCAACUGAACUUGAAGUAGCAAUAUUUCAAGGGAGGUGGCGCACGGGUGAGUAACACGUAGGUAAUCUGCCUUUAGGUCUGACAUAAUUCCGCGAAAGCGGGACUAACUUCAGAUGAUGCAGCGGCUCGACAUCGAGACAGUUGUUAAAUCUUCGGAGCCUAAAGAUGAGCCUGCGUCUGAUUAGGUAGUUGGCGGAGUAAAAGCCCACCAAGCCUGCGAUCAGUAGCUGGUCUGAGAGGAUGAUCAGCCACACUGGAACUGAGACACGGUCCAGACUCCUACGGGAGGCAGCAGUAAGGAAUAUUGCUCAAUGGCCGAAAGGCUGAAGCAGCAACGCCGCGUGGAGGAUGAAAUACUUUUGUAUGUAAACUCCUGUAAGAAGGGAAAAUAUUUCGAUUUAUCGGAAUUGAUUGUACCUUCAGAGUAAGC
RNAcentral lists this ribosomal RNA (464 nucleotides) under uncultured bacterium. Its description in RNAcentral is "bacterial SSU rRNA". It matches the Rfam family "Bacterial small subunit ribosomal RNA", at positions 28 to 491 of the family's 1533-position model. The record is from RNAcentral.